AAUUAUCCACUCACCUGACUCAAAAGCAAACUGCACACACAAGCUGAAACCGAAGGAAAUUCUACUGACGUCCUGCCGGUAGAAUAUCAGGAUUAUCUGAAUACAAAGGAGACAUAUUCAAGAACGACUCGAAAGAACAUUUAACCUAUUUAAUACACUUAACUAAGGGUGUAUUCCGUAAUCCUAUAUAUUUUUGAACUAACUAGUCAAUUUUCUUAAAAACCCAAAAUCUAACGGUUUUCCCGAAAUCUAAUCCAUAAUAAAAACAACUAAUAAAAUUGGUAAUAAUUCACUAAAUAACCCUUAAUUAUUCAUCAAACUAAUCUGCAAAAGCUAAUAUUACAGCUAGGGACUAAUAUGGAAUUUUUCUAUAUUUUUAGGGCCAAAUUGUAACUUUUGUCAAAUGGAGGACCAAACUGAAAUUUGUCAUAAAUCCAUGAAUAUACUGAAAUUCUGACCUUAAUUAAUCCUCAAUUAUGUCCAGGAUGUAUCAUUAUGCUUCAGGGAUCAUUCUGGAAUUUUACUAAAUUUUUAGGGUCAAAUCGUACUUUUUGUCAAAUUGGAGGACUAAAUUGAAAGUGUUAAAUUCUCUUAUCUAUACAGUAAUUAUGUCCAUAAUUCAUAUGUUAUUCUGUUCAGAAUCUCGGAAUAUGCUCCAGGGACCAAUUUGUAAUUUUCCAAAGUUCAGGGACUAAACUGUAAUUUUCGGAAAUUGAGGGACCAAAUUGAAUUUUCGUCAUCUUCAACCUCCAGUCCAGAUUUUAACAGAAACCCCACUGUUCUCCCCUGAUUUCUAACUCAAUUUUCACCAUUUACACAAUUCUAUAACUCAAAAUCAUCAUAAUCUUCCAUAAUCAACUAAAUCAUCAAUUAAACACAACAAUCAACCCCUAACCUUCAAUUUAAUUCAUCAAUUUAAAUCAAACACAAAUUCUCAAAACCCUAACAUUCAUAAAAACUAAAAUUAAAGCUUAAUUAACAUAUUAUACACAUUAAACAACCUAAAUCUUACCUUUUUCACUUAUUUCCUCCAAUUCUCUUCCUUUUUCCCUUAUUUUCCCCUCUUUUCUCUUCUUCUUCUUUCCUUUCUCACUUCUGCCGAUUCUCUUCCUCUCAAAAUCAGAUUUCUAUUAUUUUUUUUUUUUUUUUACUUCCUUUUUAUAUUUAUCAACUAUUUAUCCAAUUACUACUAUACCCCUCAUUUAAUUUAUUCCUACAUCUAAGCCUUCAAGGGGUUUCUAGGCUUUUCCUAUCUCAUUAAUUCAAAACAUUACAGUUUGACCUUUUGAUUCUGUUUGUUUGUGGCUCCCAGGCCUCUAUAGUUUUUGAAUGGAAAAUAGAAUAUGUGUUUUCAAGUGUUUAAGGAAUUAAUUAACUUGGCCUUGCUUGGGCUGCGUCCUUUUAUUUUCACUCUGUGCAGAUGUUCUAUAGCAGAUCACUUGACUACAGUAACGGAAAAGGCAUCUUUAACCUUGAUUUUGCAUUUGGAUCGAGGAUUUUUCAUCAGUCUUUUGUUCCUCCAAUUCUCUUCCUUUUUCCCUUAUUUUCCCCUCUUUUCUCUUCUUCUUCUUUCCUUUCUCACUUCUGCCGAUUCUCUUCCUCUCAAAAUCAGAUUUCUAUUUUUUUUUUUUUACUUCCUAUUUAUAUUUAUCAACUAUUUAUCCAAUUACUACUAUACCCCUCAUUUAAUUUAUUCCUACAUCUAAGCCUUCAAGGGGUUUCUAGGCUUUUCCUAUCUCAUUAAUUCAAAACAUUACAAUCUCCCCACCUUAUAAAAGUUUCGUCCUCGAAACUUAAUAGAAAAGAUUGAGUACUUACCGAGAUUAUCGAAAAGAUGAGGAUACUCCUCACGCAUCUUAUCCUCGAGCUCCCAUGUCGCUUCCUCACGUGAAUGGCCUUUCCAUUUCACUUUCACUGAAGCUAUGUCCUUCGACCUAAGCUUCCUCACUUGUCGGUCGACUAUAGCUUCCGGUUGCACCUCAUAAACCAUAUCAUCCCUCAAGUCAAUAGGAUGAACCUCUAACACAUGCGAUGGAUCUGACAUAUAUUUCCUUAACAUGGAAACAUGAAAUACCGGAUGAAUAGCAGACAAGUUUGGUGGUAAUGCUAACCGAUAAGCAACUGCCCCAACUCUCUCCAGAAUCUCAUACGGUCCAAUGAAUCGAGGACUCAACUUGCCUUUCUUCCCAAACCUGAAUACUCCUUUUGUAGGUGAUACUUUUAAGAACACACAAUCACCCACUGAAAACUCUAAGUCACGCCUUCUUCUAUCUGCGUAACUUUUAUGUCUACUCUGAGCUGUUUGAAGCUUCUUUCUAAUUACCUCAAUCUUCUCUGAGGUAAUCUGAAUCAACUCCGGUCCCAUUAGCCUCUUCUCACCAACCUCAAACCAACAAACCGGUGAUCUACACUUCCGACCAUACAAAGCCUCAUAAGGUGCCAUCUCUAUGCUAGCCUGAUAACUGUUGUUGUAAGCAAAUUCCACUAAUGGUAGGAACUUACUCCAACCAACUCCAAAAUCCAUAACACAAGCCCUUAACAUAUCCUCCAAGGUCUGAAUAGUCCUCUCAGACUGACCAUCUGUCUGAGGGUGAAAAGCUGUACUCAACUGCACCUUAGUACCCAUAGCUUCUUGAAAUUUCACCCAAAACCGCGAUGUAAACUGUGGACCUCUAUCAGACACUAUCGAGAUUGGCACUCCAUGCAACCGUACAAUCUCACUAAUAAACAAUUCCGCCAACUUUGCAUAUCCAUAAGUAAUCUUAACUGGCAGAAAAUGGGCUGAUUUGGUCAACCUGUCAACAAUCACCCAUAUCGAAUCAUAACCCUCCUGACUCCUAGGCAAUCCUGUCACAAAGUCCAUUGUGAUCCUUUCCCACUUCCAUUCUGGAAUCAACAAUGGUUGUAACAAUCCAGGAGGUUUCUGGUGUUCACCCUUUACCCUCUGACAGGUCAAACACCUAGAAACAAAAUCUGCUACAUCAGCCUUCAUCCUAUUCCACCAAUAACACACCUUAAGGUCUUUAUACAUCUUGGUGGAACCUGGAUGCAUUGUGUAAACUGUCUGAUGUGCCUCUAUCAUCAAUUCUCUCCUCAGAUCAUCAACAUCAGGUACACAAAGCCUAUCCCUAUAUCUCAGCACAUCAUCAUCACCAAUCACAAAACUUGCAGCCUUACCCUGCUCAACCUCAUUUCUAAUCCUGAGUAGUGAAUCAUCUUUCUUCUGAGCUGCUUUUAUCUUAUCAAACAAAUCUGACUUAACCUGAAAAUGAGCAAUCAUUGCUCCAGCUUCACUAAGAUCAAAUCUGACUCCUUCAUCCACUAACUCAUGCAGCUCCCUAAUCAGAGGUCUUCGUACCUCCUGAAUAUGAGCUAAGCUCCCUGAUGAUUUUCUACUCAAAGCAUCGGCAACUACAUUUGCCCUACCCGGGUGGUACUGUAUGGUACAAUCAUAAUCCUUCAGUAGUUCCAUCCAUCUCUCUGCCUCAGGUUUAGAUCCUCUGCUGAAAGAUGUAUUUCAAACUCUUGUGAUCUGUAAAGAUCUCACAAGUUUCACCAUACAAGUAGUGCCUCCAAAUCUUCAAAGCAAAAAUUACAGCCGCCAUCUCUAAAUCAUGUGUAGGAUAGUUCUGUUCAUGCUUCUUCAGCUGCCGUGAAGCAUAGGCAAUAACCUUGCCAUGCUGCAUUAGAACACAUCCUAACCCCACUCUCGAAGCAUCACAAUACACUGUGUAACCACCAGAACCUGAUGGUACUGCUAGAAUAGGCGCUGUAGUCAAUCUCUCCUUCAACUCUAAGAAACUUUUCUCACAAGCUUCAGACCACUGAAACUUAACAUUUUUCUGCGUUAACUUAGUCAAUGGUGCAGAAAUUCGAGAAAAGUUCUCCACAAACCUCCGAUAGUAGCCGGCCAAACCUAAGAAACUUCUAAUCUCUGUCGCCGAAGUAGGCCUAAGCCACUGCUUAACUGCUUCAAUCUUUUGAGGAUCAACCUCAAUCCCAUUCCUUGACACUACAUGCCCAAGAAAUGCUACACUCUCCAACCAAAACUCACUCUUUGAGAACUUGCCAUACAACUGAUGAUCUCGCAGAGUUUGAAGCACCAUUCUCAAAUGCUGCUCAUGCUCCUCUCUAGACCUCGAAUACACCAAAAUAUCAUCAAUAAAAACUAUCACAAAUCGAUCAAUAAAUUGGCCAAACACUCUAUUCAUCAAGUCCAUAAAAGCUGCUGGUGCAUUCGUCAACCCAAAAGACAUCACUAAAAACUCAUAAUGACCAUACCGAGUUCUAAAAGCUGUCUUUGAAAUGUCCUCCUCCCUAAUCCUCAACUGAUGAUACCCAGAUCGAAGAUCGAUCUUAGAAAAGAAUUGAGCUCCCUGUAACUGAUCAAACAAAUCAUCUAUACGAGGGAGUGGGUAUCUAUUUCGAACUGUCACCCGAUUCAAUUGCCUAUAAUCUAUACACAACCUCAAUGACCCAUCUUUCUUCUUCACAAACAACACCGGAGCUCCCCAAGGGGACACACUUGGUCGGAUGAACUUUUUAUCCAAUAAAUCCUGCAGCUGCUCCUUUAACUCCCUCAAUUCUGCUGGCGCCAUUCUAUAUGGUGCCAUUGAUAUUGGUUCAGUGCCCGGAACCAAAUCAAUACAAAACUCAAUCUCCCUAUACGGAGGCAAUCCAGGUAAGUCAUCGGGAAAUACAUCGAUAAACUCUCUUACUAUAGGGACUUCCUCUAACUGGGGAACUUCUUUCUCUACAUCCACUAUAUAUGCUAGGUAGCACUGUACCCCUUUUCGGGCCAUUUUCCUCGAGAUAGCCGACAACAUAAUUGAUGGAGACCCAAUCUUAUCUCCUUGAAAUACCAACCCAACUUCUUGAUCUAGAUCAAACAUUAUUUUCUUACCCCAACAAUUUACCGAAGCCCUAUGCUUAGCCAACCAAUCCAUUCCCAAAAUCACAUCAAAAUCAACCAUAUCUAAGACAUUUAAGUCUCCCAUAAAGAUCUUAUCUCCAAUCUCUAUUUCACAAUCCAGAUACACAUACUUUACUAAUAUUAACUCAUCUAAGGGAGUGGAGACUGAAAUGGGGGAUUUUAACAAGGUUGGUUGUUUAUCUAACCUCAUGGCAAAAUAUGAGGACACAAACGAAUGAGUUGCACCCGUAUCAAACAAAACUUUUGCUUCAAAAGAUCAAACAGGAACAACAUGUUGAGGUGUGGAUGUACUGCCCUACCUCCUAUACCUUGCAUUUCUAAACUUCACAAUAUGGACAUCAUCUUUAUUGUCAUUUACUCUAAUAGUAUCAGCUAUUCAUCUAUUCCUCGGCAUUUCCUAAAAUAAAAGAGAGAUCACUUAAGUCAUGCUAGAACAAUAGCAUGAUAAUUAUCUCAGAAUUAUAGGAAAGCAUAUCUAUCACAAGGAAGAAGACAUACUUGAUGAGAAUUUAAAAUUUCAAAAACAACAAACAAGACGAUACGGAUCCUAAUGCUCCACUUAUUAUGAAAUUAAUUAUAUUAUUGUUUCUUUAACCUAAAGCUCUGAUACCAAGUUUGUCACGACCCGAAUCCCGGAUCCAUGACCGGCACAUAGGCAAGGUUCCCCUCCAAGGUUCCAAACCUAUGCGAACCCAAACUUACAUACAAUCCUUUAAACAACUCAAUCAGAGUUUAACGCAGAAUUAACAACAAACAACUUCAUAAUAUAAUUCGAUUGUCUUAAUACAAGAGUUAAUAAUUUCAUAGUUUUGGAGCACUAACUUGACACAAAAGGAAGGUACAAAUUACAACCAAAAGGCAGGUUCGGAAGGUUCAACAAAAGUAACCUGCUAUCAAGCUAUAAGCCUGAAAAGGAUAAAUAAUGAGAGGGUGAGUUCAACAACUCAGUGAGUAGAUAACGUUCAAUAUACACACACGAGGUAAUAUAACAAUGAGAAAUAUAUAUACAAGUAUGGCUUUAGUUCUUAUACGAAGGUUUAUCAAAUAGGCCAUAACAAGAAUAUCAUAUGGUAAAACUCGUCAGAAAAUCAAAAUGCAAUGAGCAUGAGGCUCCGUACUGUGGGAUGAUCAGUCCACACAGGUUGGUGACUCCCCCGACCAACUAGGGUUCAGAUACGAUGUGCACAAAGACUAACACUACCCUGUUAGCAUGGGUAUUCUGACUGACAUACCAUAGGUUCAUAAUCAUAAUCAAACAAACAUAUUCAUAUCUCAAAGCUCAACUCAUGACAUCCAUCAAAUGAGGAGCUAUCAAUUCAGAAGUCAAAUCAUAUUGGUUCAUAUCAAGAAUCAGAUUCAAUAAUUGAUCAUGCUUUAUCAUAUCAAGGAUAAUAAUCAGCAUAUAUAUUAUCAAGAAGCAUGAUCCAAUUCAUAUUAACAAAUCAAAUAUUUAUAAUAUUUCUCAUGCAUAUGGAAAAUUAUCCACUCACCUGACUCAAAAGCAAACAACACACACAAGCUGAAACCGAAGGAAAUUCUACUGACGUCCUGCCGGUAGAAUAUCAGGAUUAUCUGAAUACAAAGGAGACAUAUUCAAAAACGACUCGAAAGAACAUUUAACCUAUUUAAUACACUUAACUAAGGGUGUAUUCCGUAACCCUAUAUAUUUUUGAACUAACUAGUCAAUUUUCUUAAAAACCCAAAAUCUAACGGUUUUCCCGAAAUCUAAUCCAUAAUAAAAACAACUAAUAAAAUUGGUAAUAAUUCACUAAAUAACCCUUAAUUAUUCAUCAAACUAAUCUGCAAAAGCUAAUAUUACAGCUAGGGACUAAUCUGGAAUUUUUCCAUAUUUUUAGGGCCAAAUUGUAACUUUUGUCAAAUGGAGGACCAAACUGAAAUUUGUCAUAAAUCCAUGAAUAUACUGAAAUUCUGACCUUAAUUAAUCCUCAAUUCUGUCCAGGAUGUAUCAUUAUGCUUCAGGGAUCAUUCUGGAAUUUUACUAAAUUUUAGGGUCAAAUUGUAAUUUUUGUUAAAUUGGAGGACUAAAUUGAAAGUGUUAAAUUCUCUUAUCUAUACAGUAAUUAUGUCCAUAAUUCAUAUGUUAUUCUGUUCAGAAUCUCGGAAUAUGCUCCAGGGACCAAUUUGUAAUUUUCCAAAGUUCGGGGACUAAACUGUAAUUUUCGGAAAUUGAGGGACCAAAUUGAAUUUUCGUCAUCUUCAACCUCCAGUCCAGAUUUUAACAGAAACCCCACUGUUCUCCCCUGAUUUCUAACUCAAUUUCACCAUUUACACAAUUCUAUAACUCAAAAUCAUCAUAAUCUUCCAUAAUCAACUAAAUCAUCAAUUAACACAACAAUCAACCCCUAACCUUCAAUUUAAUUCAUCAAUUUAAAUCAAACACAAAUUCUCAAAACCCUAACAUUCAUAAAAACUGAAAUUAAAGCUUAAUUAACAUAUUAUACACAUUAAACAACCUAAAUCUUACCUUUUUCACUUAUUUCCUCCAAUUCUCUUCCUUUUUCCCUUAUUUUCCCCUCUUUUCUCUUCUUCUUCUUUCCUUUCUCACUUCUGCCGAUUCUCUUCCUCUCAAAAUCAGAUUUCUAUUUUUUUUUUUUUUUACUUCCUUUUAUAUUUAUCAACUAUUUAUCCAAUUACUACUAUACCCCUCAUUUAAUUUAUUCCUACAUCUAAGCCUUCAAGGGGUUUCUAGGCUUUUCCUAUCUCAUUAAUUCAAAAC
RNAcentral lists this long non-coding RNA (7670 nucleotides) under Populus tremula. Its description in RNAcentral is "long non-coding RNA (PTRE_LNC002792)". The record is from RNAcentral. Lineage: Eukaryota; Viridiplantae; Streptophyta; Magnoliopsida; Malpighiales; Salicaceae.